UACGUAGGAGGCAAGCGUUGUCCGGAAUUACUGGGCGUAAAGCGCGUGUAGGUGGUGGGACAAGUCUGCUGUGAAAGCGCCUGGCUUAACCGGGCGAGGUCGGCGGAAACUGUCCGACUCGAGGACGGUAGAGGGGGGUGGAAUUCCCGGUGUAGUGGUGAAAUGCGUAGAGAUCGGGAGGAACACCUGUGGCGAAGGCGGCUCUCUGGGACGGUACUGACGCUGAGACGCGAAAGCGUGGGGAGCGAACAGG
Molecule: ribosomal RNA, 253 nt
Filed under: uncultured bacterium
Lineage: Bacteria
Description: partial 16S ribosomal RNA
Rfam family: Bacterial small subunit ribosomal RNA
Source: RNAcentral